AAGAGAAGAGAAGAGAAGAGAAGGAGUACUGGUCAGAGAGGGCAUGAAGGGAGAUCCUUUGAUGCUGAAGAGCCGGAUUUCUCAUCAUGACGUGAGAGGGUUCUGUUUUGUGUCGGCCAGGCAGCAGAUCAGAAACACGUAGGAACAUCUCUCGAAGUGUCAAGGCUCCGCCGCUCCUGAUUGGCCCAGGCCAGAGCCGCCGCUGCCCUCCAUUGGCUGGGCCGAGGACGAAUGCGCCUGCUGACAGUCAAUGGGGGCACACGGGGGUGAGUUGUGUGAGGUAUGGGCCGCCACAUUCUUCAGCGCUGAUCAAGUCUUAUGAACUUUCACUGAUGAGUGUGUGAGAGAGACAGUAUGUGUACGUGUGUGUGUGUGUGUGUGUGUGUGUGUGUGUGUGUGUGUGGUGCGUAAUGUGCAGUAGAAUGAUGGCCUGUAGGGACCCAGUCUAUAAUUCAGGCUAGUCUAAAGGUGAGCUCGGACCAUCAGUAACUUACAGCACACACUCACACAUUACACUCACACUCAUUUGUCUUAUUUAUAUGUAUGUGUAGCUUCAUAGAUAUGUCUUAUAUACAGUUAUAAACUGUGCAAUUAUUUAAUGCCAUUGUUUUUAAUCUGAGAAAACUCUAUGCAUAUAUGUUUUAAUAUGGAAUAUUGUGAGAUGUAUUGACUUAAC
RNAcentral lists this long non-coding RNA (676 nucleotides) under Astyanax mexicanus (Mexican tetra). RNAcentral describes it as "lncRNA (ENSAMXG00005016121.1)". Lineage: Eukaryota; Metazoa; Chordata; Actinopteri; Characiformes; Acestrorhamphidae. The record is from RNAcentral.